GUUGUUGUUGCUCAUAACUGUGUUCCUUUUGUUCCUCACACUGAUAAUGAAGUCAAGUUUGGAAAUGUCUGGUCUCGAUGGCUUUAGAAACGUCAUCAUAUCUAAGCUAACUCAUCGAAGCAGAAGAAGCGAAUAUCCAAAAUGUCAGUCUCCUUGCUAGGUCUACACAAUGCUGUGAUGUUAACCACGGAACUUCAUCCGUCUCGGCUGUUGCAUUGCGAUAACAAAUCCAUUUGAGUCACGUAAUCAACAGGCUAUCUGCCCGUGUUAAGUAGGGAGGGAUGGUUAGGCAACCAAAUGUAAUGCACGCCCCUACGUUUUUUCUUCUUCUAACAGUUAGCAUGAAACGAGGAAGGGACACAGCGUCCUUUUUUUGGCCCCAGGAAACAAAAAAGUGAGAGAACAGCAGUGAGAGAAACAAAUGAAGGUGUUGAGAGAGUUGAGGAGCAGGAAGAGGGAGAGCUGGAGGAGUCUGGGGAGGUUGGAGAGAGAGCAUGUGAUGAAAGUGGGGGCUCUGACACAGAGAGGGAAAUUCCAGAGGGUGAGGAGGAGGAAGAAGAAGAAGAGGGUGAGGACCGGAGGAAGAAAACCUACAGGGACAGAGAGAGGGGACAGCAAGUGGAUCCAUGUGGAUCAAGUACUGCCCCAUCAGAUAUCAGCAAGUCCAAGAAUGAUGUACCAGUACAGCCCAACUUGAAUAUAUUCCCAACACUUUUGAUGGGGGGCAGAAGACGGAGCUUCAGGCCAAACUGGUUGAGAGGACAACUAGAAGCAUCCUGUGUUUUGCUCAGUGAAAUGAACAGAUGCUUGGGAUGGGACCUGGAGUGUGUCCGUAAAUGUUGAGACGGUUGCAGGUGGACUGGUGUUUACAUGGUCCGGGGGAGCUGGAAGUCCGCAGCUGUGUGGCGGCUGCAGUGCUUUUAUGUGUCUCCUAGCCGCAGAUCUGCAGCCUCAAUGGAUGUCAUCUGGGAAGAAGAAGAGGAGCCUUGUAGAGACCAGCUGAAGGGACGUCUUCUCUGAGCUGAAGCUCUGAGAUGAGUGCAGAGUUUCCGGACCACAACGGAGAAGUUCCUUCACUCCAUUCAUGCCGCCUUCUCUCCGUACUCACUGUAUACUCAUAGUAUUGUAUGUCAUGAAAUAAUUUAAAGUAAAGUAAAGUAAGUAAUAGUACGUAUAAUGUCAAAAAAAGCUCAGAAAAGUCAUACAUAAUGUCAAAAAGUGUUAUUACAUAGUUAUUACAUUGUUAUAACAUGUAUUAGGACAAAAAUCUAUCAAAAAGUCACAGAAAGUGUUAUUACAUAGUUAUUACAUUGUUAUAACAUGUAUUAUGAAAAAAUCUAUCAAAAGUCACAGAAAGUGUUAUUACAUAGUUAUUACAUUGUUAUAACAUGUAUUAUGACAAAAAUCUAUCAAAAAGUCACAGAAAGUGUUAUUACAUAGUUAUAACAAUGUAAUAACAUGUAUUAAUGACAAAAAAUCUAUAAAAAAAGUGUUAUUACACAGUUGUACACAGUACAUGCCAUAAAAGUGGGCGUAAAUAAUUUUUUCGUCCAUGAAAAAAAAAAAAAAUCAUCAAAUUUUUUUUUUUUCUUAAAUUAGGAUGUUCUCUUCCUUUGUCCUACUCUGGUCUCUUCCUUUCUCUGAGGUGUCCUACUCUGGUCUCUUCCUUUCUCUGAGGUGUCCUACUCUGGUCUCCCUGUUGUCCUACUCUGGUCUCCCUUUCUCUGAGGUGUCCUACUCUGGUCUCUCCCUUUCUCUGAGGUGUCCUACUCUGGUCUCCCCUUUCUCUGAGGUGUCCUACUCUGGUCUCUCCCUUUCUCUGAGGUGUCCUACUCUUCUCUGAGUUGUCCUACUCUGGUCUCUCCCUUUCUCUGAGUUGUCCUACUCUGGUUUCUGCCUGUCCUUGUCUUAAUACUCUCCUACUCUCUUCUUGCCUGCACUUCCUUUCCUAGCC
This is a long non-coding RNA of Perca fluviatilis (European perch), 1954 nucleotides long. RefSeq lists it as uncharacterized. The record is from RefSeq and is a predicted model, not a curated record. Lineage: Eukaryota; Metazoa; Chordata; Actinopteri; Perciformes; Percidae. The transcript is spliced from 7 exons.